Alosa sapidissima (American shad) is the source of this 107-nucleotide long non-coding RNA. RefSeq lists it as uncharacterized. The record is from RefSeq and is a predicted model, not a curated record. The transcript has 3 exons. Lineage: Eukaryota; Metazoa; Chordata; Actinopteri; Clupeiformes; Clupeidae.
CCAUAUCUAUUACACUCAAUAGCAUUAAGUAAAGAUCCGUCAUUAUUGUCAGCUGUAACUUACCCCGAUAUUCAUAGCCUAACUGUCUUGCUCAUAUAUCGGCACAC